GUGCUCCGUUCGGCAGCACAUAUAAUACUAAAAUUGGGAUACAGAGAAGAUUAGCAUGGCCCCUAAGCAAGAAUGACACACAAAUUUGUGAAGGGUUCCAUAUUUAA
Molecule: small nuclear RNA, 107 nt
Organism: Lutra lutra (Eurasian river otter)
Lineage: Eukaryota; Metazoa; Chordata; Mammalia; Carnivora; Mustelidae
Source: RefSeq, a predicted model, not a curated record